UGGCGAACGGGUGAGUAACACGUGAGCAACCUGCCCUGGACUCUGGGAUAAGCGCUGGAAACGGCGUCUAAUACUGGAUAUGACCCUCUUCCGCAUGGUGGGGGUUGGAAAGAUUUUUUGGUCUGGGAUGGGCUCGCGGCCUAUCAGCUUGUUGGUGAGGUAAUGGCUCACCAAGGCGUCGACGGGUAGCCGGCCUGAGAGGGUGACCGGCCACACUGGGACUGAGACACGGCCCAGACUCCUACGGGAGGCAGCAGUGGGGAAUAUUGCACAAUGGGCGGAAGCCUGAUGCAGCAACGCCGCGUGAGGGAUGACGGCCUUCGGGUUGUAAACCUCUUUUAGCAGGGAAGAAGCGAAAGUGACGGUACCUGCAGAAAAAGCGCCGGCUAACUACGUGCCAGCAGCCGCGGUAAUACGUAGGGCGCAAGCGUUAUCCGGAAUUAUUGGGCGUAAAGAGCUCGUAGGCGGUUUGUCGCGUCUGCUGUGAAAUCCCGAGGCUCAACCUCGGGCCUGCAGUGGGUACGGGCAGACUAGAGUGCGGUAGGGGAGAUUGGAAUUCCUGGUGUAGCGGUGGAAUGCGCAGAUAUCAGGAGGAACACCGAUGGCGAAGGCAGAUCUCUGGGCCGUAACUGACGCUGAGGAGCGAAAGGGUGGGGGAGCAAACAGGCUUAGAUACCCUGGUAGUCCACCCCGUAAACGUUGGGAACUAGUUGUGGGGACCAUUCCACGGUUUCCGUGACGCAUCUAACGUAUUAAGUUCCCCCGCCUGGGGAGUACGGCCGCAAGGCUAAAACUUCAAGGAAUUUGAC
This 809-nucleotide ribosomal RNA is filed under the name Microbacterium sp. RNAcentral's name for it is "bacterial SSU rRNA". It matches the Rfam family "Bacterial small subunit ribosomal RNA", at positions 96 to 914 of the family's 1533-position model. Lineage: Bacteria; Bacillati; Actinomycetota; Actinomycetes; Micrococcales; Microbacteriaceae. The record is from RNAcentral.